ACCAGACUCCUACGGGAGGCAGCAGUGGGGGAUAUUGCACAAUGGGGGGAACCCUGAUGCAGCGACGCCGCGUGGGUGAAGAAGCGCCUCGGCGCGUAAAGCCCUGUCAGCAGGGAAGAAAAUGACGGUACCUGAAGAAGAAGCCCCGGCUAACUACGUGCCAGCAGCCGCGGUAAUACGUAGGGGGCAAGCGUUAUCCGGAUUUACUGGGUGUAAAGGGGGCGCAGACGGCGAUGCAAGCCAGGAGUGAAAGCCCGGGGCCCAACCCCGGGACUGCUCUUGGAACUGCGUGGCUGGAGUGCAGGAGGGGCAGGCGGAAUUCCUGGUGUAGCGGUGAAAUGCGUAGAUAUCAGGAGGAACACCGGUGGCGAAGGCGGCCUGCUGGACUGCAACUGACGUUGAGGCCCGAAAGCGUGGGGAGCAAACAGGAUUAGAUACCCCUGUAAC
Molecule: ribosomal RNA, 447 nt
Filed under: uncultured bacterium
Lineage: Bacteria
Description: partial 16S ribosomal RNA
Rfam family: Bacterial small subunit ribosomal RNA
Source: RNAcentral